RNAcentral lists this ribosomal RNA (995 nucleotides) under uncultured bacterium. Its description in RNAcentral is "bacterial SSU rRNA". It matches the Rfam family "Bacterial small subunit ribosomal RNA", at positions 356 to 1376 of the family's 1533-position model. The record is from RNAcentral.
GGGGAAUAUUGCACAAUGGGGGAAACCCUGAUGCAGCGACGCCGCGUGGAGGAAGAAGGUCUUCGGAUUGUAAACUCCUGUUGUUGAGGAAGAUAAUGACGGUACUCAACAAGGAAGUGACGGCUAACUACGUGCCAGCAGCCGCGGUAAAACGUAGGUCGCAAGCGUUGUCCGGAAUUACUGGGUGUAAAGGGAGCGCAGGCGGGCGAUCAAGUUGGAAGUGAAAUCCAUGGGCUCAACCCAUGAACUGCUUUCAAAACUGGUCGUCUUGAGUAGUGCAGAGGUAGGCGGAAUUCCCGGUGUAGCGGUGGAAUGCGUAGAUAUCGGGAGGAACACCAGUGGCGAAGGCGGCCUACUGGGCACCAACUGACGCUGAGGCUCGAAAGUGUGGGUAGCAAACAGGAUUAGAUACCCUGGUAGUCCACACCGUAAACGAUGAUUACUAGGUGUUGGGAGAUUGACCCUCUCAGUGCCGCAGUUAACACAAUAAGUAAUCCACCUGGGGAGUACGACCGCAAGGUUGAAACUCAAAGGAAUUGACGGGGGCCCGCACAAGCAGUGGAGUAUGUGGUUUAAUUCGACGCAACGCGAAGAACCUUACCAAGUCUUGACAUCCUCUGACGAACGUAGAAAUACGUUUUCUCUUCGGAGCAGAGAGACAGGUGGUGCAUGGUUGUCGUCAGCUCGUGUCGUGAGAUGUUGGGUUAAGUCCCGCAACGAGCGCAACCCUUAUGGUCAGUUACUACGCAAGAGGACUCUGGCCAGACUGCCGUUGACAAAACGGAGGAAGGUGGGGAUGACGUCAAAUCAUCAUGCCCUUUAUGACUUGGGCUACACACGUACUACAAUGGCGUUAAACAAAGAGAAGCAAGACCGCGAGGUGGAGCAAAACUCAGAAACAACGUCCCAGUUCGGACUGCAGGCUGCAACUCGCCUGCACGAAGUCGGAAUUGCUAGUAAUCGUGGAUCAGCAUGCCACGGUGAAUACGUUCCCG